UGAUAGAUGUAAAUAAAAACGAAAACAAGAGGGAGAAGUAGUAAAAGUGCGCGUAAUUGGAUUAGCGAAUAUUAGUGAACUAAUUAGUAGAAGCAAGUGAGUUUUGAGGUGUUUUGGAACGAGUUCGAUCAGACCAGCAUACAAGUUAGGAGGGAGUCGAGAUUCCAAAAUCGCAUGAAAGACGACACGAGAGACAGUUCACAGACAACGAGACAUUUAACGGACAGGUAAAACGAGCAAGUUACAAUAACAUUAAAUGUAUGAUGUAAUUAAUUUGUGACAGAUAACAGACGUACAUUAAGAACGGACACUUAAGUUGUGCUGUUUGGAAAUACUGCCGGAGAAGUCGUAAGUUUAGGAAUUAGGACCGAAUACCAAACUUUGUUAAUUCAUUUGAAAAUACCUUAGGAGAUAGUGCAAAGCACACAACGAGCUUGGAGGAGGAAAGUCAAGGGAAGGAAGCAAACUAAAAUUGUAAGUGGGAUAUUUUACAUGUAACUCGCUAAAUG
Molecule: long non-coding RNA, 509 nt
Organism: Aedes aegypti (yellow fever mosquito)
Lineage: Eukaryota; Metazoa; Arthropoda; Insecta; Diptera; Culicidae
Exons: 2
Source: RefSeq, a predicted model, not a curated record